AAAUUGAAGAGUUUGAUCAUGGCUCAGAUUGAACGCUGGCGGCAGGCCUAACACAUGCAAGUCGAGCGGUAGCACAGAGAGCUUGCUCUCGGGUGACGAGCGGCGGACGGGUGAGUAAUGUCUGGGAAACUGCCUGAUGGAGGGGGAUAACUACUGGAAACGGUAGCUAAUACCGCAUAACGUCGCAAGACCAAAGUGGGGGACCUUCGGGCCUCAUGCCAUCAGAUGUGCCCAGAUGGGAUUAGCUAGUAGGUGGGGUAACGGCUCACCUAGGCGACGAUCCCUAGCUGGUCUGAGAGGAUGACCAGCCACACUGGAACUGAGACACGGUCCAGACUCCUACGGGAGGCAGCAGUGGGGAAUAUUGCACAAUGGGCGCAAGCCUGAUGCAGCCAUGCCGCGUGUGUGAAGAAGGCCUUCGGGUUGUAAAGCACUUUCAGCGGGGAGGAAGGCGAUAAGGUUAAUAACCUUGUCGAUUGACGUUACCCGCAGAAGAAGCACCGGCUAACUCCGUGCCAGCAGCCGCGGUAAUACGGAGGGUGCAAGCGUUAAUCGGAAUUACUGGGCGUAAAGCGCACGCAGGCGGUCUGUCAAGUCGGAUGUGAAAUCCCCGGGCUUAACCUGGGAACUGCAUUCGAAACUGGCAGGCUAGAGUCUUGUAGAGGGGGGGUAGAAUUCCAGGUGUAGCGGUGAAAUGCGUAGAGAUCUGGAGGAAUACCGGUGGCGAAGGCGGCCCCCUGGACAAAGACUGACGCUCAGGUGCGAAAGCGUGGGGAGCAAACAGGAUUAGAUACCCUGGUAGUCCACGCCGUAAACGAUGUCGAUUUGGAGGUUGUGCCCUUGAGGCGUGGCUUCCGGAGCUAACGCGUUAAAUCGACCGCCUGGGGAGUACGGCCGCAAGGUUAAAACUCAAAUGAAUUGACGGGGGCCCGCACAAGCGGUGGAGCAUGUGGUUUAAUUCGAUGCAACGCGAAGAACCUUACCUGGUCUUGACAUCCACAGAACUUUCCAGAGAUGGAUUGGUGCCUUCGGGAACUGUGAGACAGGUGCUGCAUGGCUGUCGUCAGCUCGUGUUGUGAAAUGUUGGGUUAAGUCCCGCAACGAGCGCAACCCUUAUCCUUUGUUGCCAGCGGUUCGGCCGGGAACUCAAAGGAGACUGCCAGUGAUAAACUGGAGGAAGGUGGGGAUGACGUCAAGUCAUCAUGGCCCUUACGACCAGGGCUACACACGUGCUACAAUGGCAUAUACAAAGAGAAGCGACCUCGCGAGAGCAAGCGGACCUCAUAAAGUAUGUCGUAGUCCGGAUUGGAGUCUGCAACUCGACUCCAUGAAGUCGGAAUCGCUAGUAAUCGUAGAUCAGAAUGCUACGGUGAAUACGUUCCCGGGCCUUGUACACACCGCCCGUCACACCAUGGGAGUGGGUUGCAAAAGAAGUAGGUAGCUUAACCUUCGGGAGGGCGCUUACCACUUUGUGAUUCAUGACUGGGGUGAAGUCGUAACAAGGUAACCGUAGGGGAACCUGCGGUUGGAUCACCUCCUUA
RNAcentral lists this ribosomal RNA (1541 nucleotides) under Klebsiella pneumoniae. RNAcentral describes it as "bacterial SSU rRNA". It matches the Rfam family "Bacterial small subunit ribosomal RNA". The record is from RNAcentral. RNAcentral also lists the same sequence under 1 other name. Lineage: Bacteria; Pseudomonadati; Pseudomonadota; Gammaproteobacteria; Enterobacterales; Enterobacteriaceae.